Ziziphus jujuba (common jujube) is the source of this 2245-nucleotide long non-coding RNA. RefSeq lists it as uncharacterized. The record is from RefSeq and is a predicted model, not a curated record. The transcript has 2 exons. NCBI's taxonomy places the organism in Eukaryota, Viridiplantae, Streptophyta, Magnoliopsida, Rosales, Rhamnaceae.
ACAAAUAAGGAAGAAAAAAAAGUGAAAAAUUUAAGGGGAUCUGUUAUCUCAUUGUGGACUUGUAAUAACAUAUAUAUAUAUAUAUAUAUCUUAUUGUGGACUUAUUGAAGCUAAGUGAUGUAAGUAGGUCCAAUAAUGGUUAACCAACUAGAUAUUGCUCCUAUUACUCCCAAAAAAAAAAAAAAUGAUAUUGCUCCUUAACGAAUUUUAACAACAGGUUUUCCAAUUCAAAUAAGAAAAUUCAGGUUUAAUUGAGUAUCUGUAUGCUUGUUAAUAUGCAAGGCCGUUGGAAAAAAAAAAAUUAGGGACCUUAGAAUACAAAAUCAAACAAAAUAUGCAGGGAUACUAAGUACUAACAAAGAGCAAGUGUUACUGCAAUUUACAAUAUUAUCAGUAUUAAAUAAGUCAAAUAAUUAUGGAUUUUUUAAAUGGCCGCAAGUAAACAACGUCUGUUUAACCACAGAAACGAUGUCCAUUAAUAUUUAUUUUUUAUUAACAUUAAUUUUUAAUAUCAAAAUUGCGUUCUUUUCUCCUCCCUUUCUUUAGUCUGGUUCCGAGAAAUUUCAGCAAAAAGGGUCCAGAACUCACAAAAAGCUCUCUUCUCUUUCUCUCUCUCUCUCUCUCUCUCUUUCUAUUUCGUUUUCUCCGUGGGUUGAGGUCGGAUUCUUGGUCUUGAAGGCUUUUUUGUUACGUCAUCUUCACGCUCAUCAUUGAGACCGGUAAGCAAUAUGGCAUUGAGCAUCUCAAAUAGCUUGGUCGAAGUGACAAGGCAUGUGGAGUACAAUUUCCGCAACUUCGCCACCCAUUACACCAUCCUUAUCUUCUAUAUCUUCUUCUUGAGCAUCUUUGUGCACUCCUCCUGCAUGUUCGUUUUGAUCAACCUCGUCUUUGUUUGCUUUCUCGUUUACUUGAACUACCAACUCCCAAUGGUGCUCUUUAACUGUUGCAAUUAAUGCUGCACAUUUCUAAAGAGAAUUCUAAAAAUACUUAGGUGGCAAGUAAGAGUUUAAGUUUGACUUAACUUCCUCAUGUGUGUAAGUGUUCAAGUUGAACUUGGCUUCCUAGGAUAUUUAUGUGUGUAAGAGUUUAAGUUUGAUUUGACUUUCUCAUGUGUAUAAGUGUUCAAGUUAAACUUUGCUUCCUAGAACCUAAAAUGUUCAUCAAUUGUUGAGUUGGCUAAAGAACCCAUCUUGUACUUAUAUAAAUAGGAAGCUAUUGCUUCCACAACAUAUGUAACAAUUACAUUAAAAAAAAAAAAAAGUUUCUAUAUUUUCCCUUCUUCUUUUUUUUCUCCACCAAGAGUAUCCCACAAUAUCUUUCACUAAAUUCUAUCAAUGGUAUUAGAGCCUGGUUUGUUCAUAAACUAGGUGUAGUUAUUUUCAUUCACCAUGGCCGAGAACACCUUCCACACAAUUCCAGUUCCAGUUUUCAGUGGUGAAAACUACGAUUUUUGGUCUAUAAAAAUGACCAGUUAUUUUAGAUCCCAAAAACUAUGGGAUAUUGUCAAUGAGGGCUACACUAUUCCUGCUGAUAUUAUCAUUCUUGAAGACAAUCAAAAGAAGGAGCUUGAUGAGAAUCAACAAAAAGAUUCCCAAGCUUUGUUCAUUCUAUAACAAGCCAUGGCGGAUGAAAUCUUUCCAAGGAUUAUAGGAGCUACAACAGCAAAGGAGGCAUGGGAUACCCUACAGGAGGAGUUUCAAGGUAAUGUUAAGAGAUGAUAUCAUUGAUAUCUUGGCUUUUCUUGGGGCCUUCACCAUUUGGGCUAUGAUCUUUGUUUUCGAUAUCUGUUUGAAUCUCUGGGUUUCAUUCUGGAUUGCCUCUGCGCUUGCUGGAUUGCACGCCGUCCUAUGGGAGACGGAGUCUCCAACAGCGCCUGCUGCUUCAAAUGUCGCGGUUUGAUCUUGAUUGGUUCUUUGUUGAUUCCAUACAUUUGGCAUCGUUUGCAUAUUAAUUCCAUACAUUUGGUUGUACAGCUAGCAUGGCAUCGAUUCAUUUCUUGGGUUUUGUUCUUUAAUUGCUUUUAAGAUUUUUUGUUGAUUUUAAAUCUUGUAGCUAGUUAUUUCUCUUUUCGUUCCACAAAAUGUUCUGCAAAUGUAUAGUUAGGCUUUCUUUGCCACAUUACAUAUAUAACAAAUGAAUGAAACCAGCUGGGGCUUUAAAGCCAAUUAUGUAACCAGCUGGGGCUUUAAAGACAAUUAUAAUGUCAUAUCGUUUAUAAAUGUGGUUGAUCAUGUAUUAUAUUAUA